GGAGUAAAUCAUGGCCAUCGGAUUAAAAACAGUUUGGACGCUCAGGAUUGCGCCACGUCAUCAGUCAACAGUCCACGGUUUGACCACGCGGAUGAACAGUAACACGGUUUGACCCGGAUGAACAGUAACGCGGUUUGGUUGAAAAUAAUCCUGUGUGAUGCAUGCACCGUACGUGAGAUUUUUCGUCCACUGAUAUGCUGCCACGUCACCAUCAACAGUACAUAAGAAUUUUAGCCCAACAGGAUCAUGACACCUCAUCAGUCAAUGCCACAUCAUCGGUCAAUGCCACGUCAUCAUCCGUCUAUGUGAACAGUGUCGUGAACAGUAACGUAUACAGUACCGUACACGUGAAUACUACCGUACAUGUGAAUAGUGUCAUUUUUCCUUUUAUGCUCCUCUUAAGGUUUUUGACCGUCCUGAGUUCAAAAGUGAUGUCCGUUUUUCCGUCUGAUUUCUCCUUUAUUGUGAAAUGACUAUAAUGCCCCUAAAAUACAUAAAAUACUUAAUUAAAAUAAAACACAUGUAAUUAAAUCACAAGAAGGUUAAAUAAAUAAAAGUAAGGGUUGUUAAUAAGACUUGAAAUAUAAAAUGACGGUUUUCUCCUUUAUAAAUAUGCAUUUUCUAACACUCAACACACCCCCCAACCAGCUUAUUGGUAGUCCCUAGCAAAUGAAGCGAAAAUAAAAUUCAAAUUCAAAAUGAGUUUUUUUUUAAAAAUUUAGAAACACUCGUGUUUAUUCAAUCAGAUUAAUGAUAGCAAUCAAAUAAAAGUAUAAGCAUUAUCUCCAGUCUAAAGUAACAUCACACCCACAUCAACCAUCCACAUGAAUCAACCCAGUAGACUUUGUUAUAGCUACUUUCAAGAAUGACAUGUCAAACCCCAAAAUCUCACUGGAAGUAGUGACACUCUCACAAAGAAAUUAAACCCAAUAAAAAUAGUCACUCCAAUGAAUGGUAAUUGAGCGAAAAUAAUGAAGAAGUGAUAUCACAUGCUCUCACCAAGAUGAAAUAAAUAUGCCCUCAGCUUAAAAAUAAUACGAUCUCAAGUCAAAUAAAAACUGUUAGUCAACCCAAU
RNAcentral lists this long non-coding RNA (1075 nucleotides) under Citrus x clementina. Its description in RNAcentral is "Citrus clementina (C. clementina) long non-coding RNA (CCLE_LNC002709)". The record is from RNAcentral. Lineage: Eukaryota; Viridiplantae; Streptophyta; Magnoliopsida; Sapindales; Rutaceae.